This 769-nucleotide ribosomal RNA is filed under the name uncultured bacterium. RNAcentral describes it as "bacterial SSU rRNA". It matches the Rfam family "Bacterial small subunit ribosomal RNA", at positions 8 to 796 of the family's 1533-position model. The record is from RNAcentral.
AGAGUUUGAUCCUGGCUCAGGACGAACGCUGGCGGCGUUAACACAUGCAAGUCGAGCGGUAAGGCCCUUCGGGGUACACGAGCGGCGAACGGGUGAGUAACACGUGGGUGACCUGCCCCCUACUCUGGGAUAAGCCUGGGAAACUGGGUCUAAUACCGGAUAUGACUACAUGUCGCAUGGUGUGUGGUGGAAAGUUUUUUCGGUGGGGGAUGGGCCCGCGGCCUAUCAGCUUGUUGGUGGGGUGAUGGCCUACCAAGGCGACGACGGGUAGCCGGCCUGAGAGGGCGACCGGCCACACUGGGACUGAGACACGGCCCAGACUCCUACGGGAGGCAGCAGCGGGGAAUAUUGCGCAAUGGGCGGAAGCCUGACGCAGCGACGCCGCGUGGGGGAUGACGGCCUUCGGGUUGUAAACCUCUUUCGGCCCCGACGAAGCGUGAGUGACGGUAGGGGUAGAAGAAGCACCGGCCAACUACGUGCCAGCAGCCGCGGUAAUACGUAGGGUGCGAGCGUUGUCCGGAAUUAUUGGGCGUAAAGAGCUCGUAGGCGGUCUGUCGCGUCGGUCGUGAAAACUUGGGGCUUAACCCUGAGCUUGCGGUCGAUACGGGCAUGACUGGAGUUCGGCAGGGGAGACUGGAAUUCCUGGUGUAGCGGUGAAAUGCGCAGAUAUCAGGAGGAACACCGGUGGCGAAGGCGGGUCUCUGGGCCGAUACUGACGCUGAGGAGCGAAAGCGUGGGGAGCGAACAGGAUUAGAUACCCUAGUAGUCC